UUAAAUCAGCUGUCUUAUUUAGAUAUUAUCAGUAAGAAAAACAGUAUGUUUAAGUGAUUGAUAUCAUGAAGAACGUAACAGUUACUGUUUUUACUUUUUUAGUAGCUUUUGCAGCAACUUCCUUGGCUAUUAGCCAAACUUGGGGCAUCACCAGUAACAAGGAUAGGGUCUUAUCCCAUGACCGAAUCUUCAAUCGUACUUAUUAUCCUUAUGGCGUUACAAGAACAGUUCAGUUCCCAGCAGAUGAAAUAAUACACAACAUGACAAUAACAGGAAUUCAUGCUGUUGAUAAUUCCCGAAACCAAUCAAACAGCCAUUCAAUCCUUUUAGCUGGAGGUCCUGGGUUUAACUUUCUUACAAUCAAUUUCCAAGCUGGAUCAAUAGGUAACUUAGAUUUCCAACUAGUAAUUUAUGGAAGGAAAUAAAAAGACAAAGUGCGGAAAAUAAACUUCUUUGAUUGAAAUAACA
Long non-coding RNA from Eupeodes corollae, 468 nucleotides. RefSeq lists it as uncharacterized. The record is from RefSeq and is a predicted model, not a curated record. NCBI's taxonomy places the organism in Eukaryota, Metazoa, Arthropoda, Insecta, Diptera, Syrphidae. The transcript has 2 exons.